GACGAACGCUGGCGGCGUGCUUAACACACGCAAGUCGAACGAUGAAGCCGGAGCUUGCUCUGGUGAAUUAGUGGCGAACGGGUGAGUAACACGUGAGUAACCUGCCCUUGGCUCUGGGAUAACUGCUAGAAAUGGUAGCUAAUACCGGAUACGACCCUCGGAGGCAUCUCCAGGGGGUGGAAAGAAUUUCGGUCAAGGAUGGACUCGCGGCCUAUCAGCUAGUUGGUGAGGUAACGGCUCACCAAGGCGACGACGGGUAGCCGGCCUGAGAGGGUGACCGGCCACACUGGGACUGAGACACGGCCCAGACUCCUACGGGAGGCAGCAGUGGGGAAUAUUGCACAAUGGGCGCAAGCCUGAUGCAGCAACGCCGCGUGAGGGAUGACGGCCUUCGGGUUGUAAACCUCUUUUAGUAGGGAAGAAGCGAAAGUGACGGUACCUGCAGAAAAAGCACCGGCUAACUACGUGCCAGCCGCCGCGGUAA
This 484-nucleotide ribosomal RNA is filed under the name uncultured bacterium. RNAcentral's name for it is "partial 16S ribosomal RNA". It matches the Rfam family "Bacterial small subunit ribosomal RNA", at positions 28 to 523 of the family's 1533-position model. The record is from RNAcentral.